UUUUAGAUUCGAAGCGGUUAGUGGCGGACUGGUGAGUAACACGUAAGCAACCUGCCUGUUAGAGGGGAAUAACAGUGAGAAAUCACUGCUAAAACCGCAUAUGCCGUGAACAUCGCAUGAUGAAAACGGGAAAAGAGCAAUCUGCUAAUAGAUGGGCUUGCGUCUGAUUAGCUAGUUGGAGGGGUAACGGCCCACCAAGGCGACGAUACAUAGCCGACCUGAGAGGGUGAUCGGCCACACUGGGACUGAGACACGGCCCAAACUCC
RNAcentral lists this ribosomal RNA (266 nucleotides) under uncultured Eubacteriales bacterium. RNAcentral describes it as "uncultured Clostridiales bacterium partial 16S ribosomal RNA". It matches the Rfam family "Bacterial small subunit ribosomal RNA", at positions 74 to 339 of the family's 1533-position model. Lineage: Bacteria; Bacillati; Bacillota; Clostridia; Eubacteriales. The record is from RNAcentral.